AAAUUUUUAACUUAAUAAUGAUAAAAAGAAAAACAAAAUCAGGAGAAAUGACAAAAAAAAAAAAAAAAUAAGAUGAAUAAAGAAUAUUUGUAGGCGUUGUGUAUUUGAAAUGUUCAUCAGUUUUUAGUUCAUCAGAAGCGAGCGAACUUGCCUGAAUUGAUGUUUGCCACCUGCUGAAGAAAUAAAAGAAAAAAAAAAAUUCUCAUUGUGUUUUUUUUUUUUUUUAUAAAUUUUUUUGUAAUAAUUUCACCCAAACAAAUUUAAUAAAUGGAAGGAAAAGUUAAAUUUACGGGGUAAAGAAAUAAACAAACCUGCAGCAGCUUUUUAUUUUGUGUUGUUGGUCGAGCAAAAGAGCAACUAUUUAACCAGUUUAUCUAAUAAAAAAAAAAAAUUAUAAAAACCAUAAAUUGUAUUUUAUUAUUUUUAUGUAUGCUUGUACUUUUUUUUAUAAAUAUAUAAAAAAAUCUGAAUUAAAAUAAAAUUUUUAAAACUUU
Condylostylus longicornis is the source of this 494-nucleotide long non-coding RNA. RefSeq lists it as uncharacterized. Lineage: Eukaryota; Metazoa; Arthropoda; Insecta; Diptera; Dolichopodidae. The record is from RefSeq and is a predicted model, not a curated record. The transcript is spliced from 2 exons.